UACGGAGGGUGCAAGCGUUGUCCGGAUUUACUGGGUUUAAAGGGUCCGUAGGCGGAUUUUUAAGUCAGUGGUGAAAUCCUGCAGCUUAACUGCAGAACUGCCAUUGAUACUGAAAGUCUUGAGUAUAGUUGAGGUGGACGGAAUUUAUAAUGUAGCGGUGAAAUGCAUAGAUAUUAUAAAGAACACCAAUUGCGAAGGCAGUUCACUAAACUAUCACUGACGCUCAGGGACGAAAGCGUGGGGAGCGAACAGG
Molecule: ribosomal RNA, 253 nt
Filed under: uncultured bacterium
Lineage: Bacteria
Description: partial 16S ribosomal RNA
Rfam family: Bacterial small subunit ribosomal RNA
Source: RNAcentral